GGAAAGGUGGCAGAGCGGUUGAAUGCACCGGUUUUGAAAACCGACGUAGUUUAGACUACCGGGGGUUCGAAUCCCUCCCUUUCCG
Molecule: transfer RNA, 85 nt
Filed under: Bryopsis plumosa
Lineage: Eukaryota; Viridiplantae; Chlorophyta; Ulvophyceae; Bryopsidales; Bryopsidaceae
Description: tRNA-Ser
Rfam family: tRNA
About the family: Transfer RNA (tRNA) molecules are approximately 80 nucleotides in length. Their secondary structure includes four short double-helical elements and three loops (D, anti-codon, and T loops). Further hydrogen bonds mediate the characteristic L-shaped molecular structure. tRNAs have two regions of fundamental functional importance: the anti-codon, which is responsible for specific mRNA codon recognition, and the 3' end, to which the tRNAs corresponding amino acid is attached (by aminoacyl-tRNA synthetases). tRNAs cope with the degeneracy of the genetic code in two manners: having more than one tRNA (with a specific anti-codon) for a particular amino acid; and 'wobble' base-pairing, i.e. permitting non-standard base-pairing at the 3rd anti-codon position.
Source: RNAcentral